GGGAAUUAUAGUUUGAACGGACCCUUUUCCAAAGGACCUUGUUCCCAAUACGGUUGCGCGGGCAUGAAACUGUAACGAGCUUGCAACGAUUUCAGCGGCAGAUGCCGAACCACCGUUAAUUAAGACAACCAUUGGCACACCCCUCGCCAUAUCUCCUCUCUCAGCAAAGAAACUGCGUUGGGAGUUAUCUAAACGGCCUCUUAAAGAUACAAUCUCACCGUGGUUUAAAAAAGCAUCAGAUAGAAGAAUAGAUUGAUCUAGUAGGCCUCCAGGAUUAUUUCGUAA
Molecule: non-coding RNA, 285 nt
Filed under: marine eukaryotic metagenome
Source: RNAcentral